Molecule: long non-coding RNA, 2471 nt
Filed under: Panax ginseng (ginseng)
Lineage: Eukaryota; Viridiplantae; Streptophyta; Magnoliopsida; Apiales; Araliaceae
Description: long non-coding RNA (PGIN_LNC011301)
Source: RNAcentral
CUAAAUUUUAUAAAAUUCUAAAUUUAGCUCACAUAAUUAAUUUAUAUAUAGAUGCAGCUCUUGUGCCCGGAUGCUAGUAUGCUAUAAAUAGAUUAUCCAUAACCCUAAUGAGCCCUAAAAACGUUCUUAUUCUAAAUCUAGGGGCGCAACUUUCUUUGACGAUGCCGCUAAUUCUAAAUCUAAGAGGCGCAGAUACAAGUUAUGGCGGAGGAGAUGCAUUAACUAUUGAAGAAACCGAUGACGACGAGGAGGAGAUACGAUCUUCCUUUAAGGUUCUUUAAGCAAUUCAUUUAUUUAUUUUAGAUCCGAUUCGCACUAGCAUAAUUUAGGGAUUUUGUAAUAGUAGAUCUUUUGAUUUUUCACUAAUUAAACAGCUAAAUAAUUUCUCUUUGACUUGAAGGGUUAGUAAAACAAAAAGGGUAAUUGUAUUUAAUCCCCGUGUGUUGCUAUUUAUUUCGAUUUGCAGUAGCAUAAUUUAGGGGUUUGGUUAUAUUAGAUCUUUUGAUUUUCCACCGGAUAUGGUAAAUAUGGUAAUUAAAGGAGUAAAGAAUUUCUCUUUGAUUUGAAAGGUUAGUGAAACAAAGAGUGUAAUUUUACUAAAUCCAUGUGUGUUUUGUUUGCUAUCUAUGGACAGGAUUUCGGUAUUAGGUCGAUGUUUAUGGCAUUUCAUAAUUUGUAUAGAAUGAAGAACAAUGGUCAAAAUGUGUUUGCAACCAAUGGGCCGUGCUUCUAGAAGAUCUCCAUUAAGAAGAAACUGCUAACUUUAAGUUCUGGUAUCGAAUUCUAUUAGACCUUGUAGGAUCGAAUGAUCCUUUAAUGUGGUACUAGAAGACUAGGUUUUGGAACCACUGGAGUCUCUUCUUCAAGCCCUUGGCUGCUGUUCAAAGGAGAUACGGAGCAUCUCUUAGCCAUUGAGCUAAGACUAUAUAAAUGCAGUUGCUGCGGCCGCCUCACUUGGUUGGAUUGACAACUGCUGAGCCUACUGGCAUACGACUCAAACAAAAUGCUUAAUCACCCCUGUCAUUUACCUUCACCCAUACAUAUGUGCAGCUAUAAAAUGUGUAACAUUGGGUCGCGCACUACAGGAAAAAUAUCUAUCUGCGACCAAUGCAUUCAACGAUCGCCCCAUCCGGUCACUGAUAGUAUUGAGCCUAGGCUUAUAUAUAUGUAUGUAUAUAUAUAUAUAUAUAUAUAUAUAUAUAUAUAUAUAUCUUCAUCUUGCAUUACCUGCUGAAGGUCGUAUCUCUUGCCGGCCUGUCGAAGUUAUCAACUUACCUCCAAUUCCUUCGGUCUUAAGGGAGUUAAGACCGAAGUUAUCAACUUACCUCCAAUUCUUUCGUAUCUCUUGCCCUUCUUCAUUGACAACCACCAAGUUAACAGAUUGCAUCAGUAUCGGACAAGCUGGUUUUGUUCAAUUUCAACUUUCAUUUUGAUAUUUGUUUUCAAUAUUGUUCACAAGUGUUUUGUGAGAAUCAUUAUUGUAUAUGUUGGUUUAUCUCAAAUACCCACUUGUAUGAGUAGUAGUACAUUAUAAUGUGAUCGUAUGAACUUUGCAUACUAUAAUUGAGGCAAACAUUCUCCCCUACGUACAAAUAUGUGUGCUCAUUUGUUUCCGAUUUAUAAUUGUUUUAUUUUAACUCACAUAUUUCAAUAAUUUUUAAAUUUAAUUAUUUUCAGGUAUAUAUUGAAGGAUACAUGAUGUAAGCUGUAAAGAAUAUACUUGGUGUAAGCUGUAAAGUAAAGGGUCUUAGUGUCUCUAUUUUCUGCAUGUAUGUAUUACCCAAAUUCUAGGUUUUGUCCUAGAAGUUAAACCAGUGGAAGGAAGAAGAAGAUGAUGGUUAAGGAGAAGUGGGUGAAAAGCUCUACCAAAUCCUCCCUCAGCCAUCUUCACAGAUGUGACGCCCCCAAAAUAGGUUUACAUCACCUAUUCUGAGUCGCCAAAUACAUAGUACAGAAUACAAAUACAAAUUUAAAUAUACAACAUGAGCUGUGAGUUUUAAUACAAAUAUUGUCUUCUAGACAGUAUACAAACUCAAAAUAAGUCCUCAAUACAUUUAUUAUCACACUAUUUCACAGAAUAGUGAGGACUACUAAUGCAACCAUCUGGACCGUCAAUCCAUUCCCCGACUAGUCCCAGCUAUAUUCUCAUUUUCUGAAGAGAACAGUGAAAUAAAGGGUGAGCUCAACUAGCCCAGUAAGAAAUAUUAUGACUAAGAUAAUGCAGAAUAAAUUAUCCUUAGCCUUUAACAAUAUAACAACCGAUAGAAUAUAAUAGACAACAAGUUUUAGAUCAACAACUGCAGCGGAAUAAGCAAUCCAUUAGAAGAGUCAAGUAGAGCAUGAUAUCUACUAUUUUCUAUGAUUUAAAAAGUUUAUCAUCAAUUUUAUCGCUGAGACUCAGCUUAAUAAAUAAUCCACAUCAUCGAAUCAUCCCCGCACUACGGGCCAAGGAUAUUCGUGUUUUCAUCAAC